UACGUAGGGGGCAAGCGUUGUCCGGAUUUAUUGGGCGUAAAGAGCGUGUAGGCGGCUUUGCAAGUCCGUUGUGAAAACUCGAGGCUCAACCUCGAGACGCCGGUGGAAACUGCAAAGCUAGAGUCCGGAAGAGGAGAGUGGAAUUCCUGGUGUAGCGGUGAAAUGCGCAGAUAUCAGGAAGAACACCUAUGGCGAAGGCAGCUCUCUGGGACGGUACUGACGCUGAGACGCGAAAGCGUGGGGAGCGAACAGG
This 253-nucleotide ribosomal RNA is filed under the name uncultured bacterium. RNAcentral describes it as "partial 16S ribosomal RNA". It matches the Rfam family "Bacterial small subunit ribosomal RNA", at positions 524 to 776 of the family's 1533-position model. The record is from RNAcentral.